UUGGGAGCCGGGAAUGAGAAAACCGGUGCAAGCACAAUAGAUGUGUGGGAGGAAAAUCCCCCGCAUAAGUCGAAGGUGUGACGCGGACCGAAAAAGAGUAGGGAAGCUGUUAAGCAAGCCGUCAAGAAAAGCUGCUAUUGUUUCAUUAUGGCCCGUACCGUAAACCGACACAGGUGGAUGGGGAGAGAAUCCUAAGGCCGGCGGAAGAAGUAUUGUUAAGGAACUCGGCAAAAUGACCCCGUAACUUCGGGAGAAGGGGUGCCUGCGAGAGCAGGCCGCAGAGAAGAGGCCCAAGCAACUGUUUAGCAAAAACACAGGUCUAUGCAAAACCGAAAGGUGAGGUAUAUGGGCUGACGCCUGCCCGGUGCUGGAAGGUUAAGGGGAGUGGUCAGGAAACGAAGCCACGAACUUAAGCCCCAGUAAACGGCGGCCGUAACAAUAACGGUCCUAAGGUAGCGAAAUUCCUUGUCGGGUAAGUUCCGACCCGCACGAAAGGCGUAAUGAUUUGGGCGCUGUCUCGACAAUACAUCCGGUGAAAUUGAAGUGCCAGUUAAGAUGCUGGCUACCUGCGCCAGGACGGAAAGACCCCAUGGAGCUUUACUCCAGCUUGAUACUGGGACCCGGUAUUGCAUGUACAGGAUAGGUGGGAGGCUAGGAAAUGUGGACGCCAGUCUGCAUGGAGCCGCUGUUGGGAUACCACCCUUGUGGUGCUGGGUUUCUAACCAGAGGCCGUGAACCGGUCUGGGGACAAUGUCAGGUGGGGAGUUUGACUGGGGCGGUCGCCUCCGAAAGGGUAUCGGAGGCGCCCAAAGGUUCCCUCAGAAUGGUUGGAAACCAUUCGAAGAGUGCAAAGGCAGAAGGGAGCUUGACUGCGACACCGACGGGUGGAGCAGGUACGAAAGUAGGGCUUAGUGAUCCGGUGGAAUUUAAGUGGGAAUGCCAUCGCUCAACGGAUAAAAGCUACCCUGGGAUAACAGGCUGAUCACUCCCAAGAGUUCACAUCGACGGAGUGGUUUGGCACCUCGAUGUCGGCUCAUCGCAUCCUGGGGCUGAAGUCGGUCCCAAGGGUUGGGCUGUUCGCCCAUUAAAGCGGUACGCGAGCUGGGUUCAGAACGUCGUGAGACAGUUCGGUCCCUAUCCGGCGUGGGCGUAGGAUAUCUGAGAGGAGCUGUCCUUAGUACGAGAGGACCGGGAUGGACUGACCUCUGGUGUACCGGUUGGCGAUCAACGCCACGGCCGGGUAGCCAUGUCGGGACGGGAUAAACGCUGAAGGCAUCUAAGCGUGAAGCCCCCCUCAAGAUGAGAUAUCCCAUCGUAAGAGUAAGACCCCUUGAAGACGACGAGGUUGAUAGGGCAGGGGUGGAAGUGCUGUAAGGCAUGGAGCUGACUGCUACUAAUCGGUCGAGGGCUUGAUCAA
This 1417-nucleotide ribosomal RNA is filed under the name metagenome. RNAcentral's name for it is "bacterial LSU rRNA". It matches the Rfam family "Bacterial large subunit ribosomal RNA", at positions 1484 to 2925 of the family's 2925-position model. The record is from RNAcentral.